ACAGCAGCAGCCGCGGUAAAACGGAGGGAGCUAGCGUUGUUCGGAAUUACUGGGCGUAAAGCGCACGUAGGCGGUUAUUCAAGUCAGAGGUGAAAGCCCGGGGCUCAACCCCGGAACUGCCUUUGAAACUAGAUGACUGGAAUCUUGGAGAGGUCAGUGGAAUUCCGAGUGUAGAGGUGAAAUUCGUAGAUAUUCGAAAGAACACCAGUGGCGAAGGCGACUGACUGGACAAGUAUUGACGCUGAGGUGCGAAAGCGUGGGGAGCAAACAGGAUUAGAUACCCGCGUAGUCCCUGUCUCUUAUAC
Molecule: ribosomal RNA, 305 nt
Filed under: uncultured bacterium
Lineage: Bacteria
Description: partial 16S ribosomal RNA
Rfam family: Bacterial small subunit ribosomal RNA
Source: RNAcentral